UCGCGCCGCCGCCACUCUUUCUGGUUCCCCUCGGGAUCCUCCCAGAUCCGAUCGAACCAACCCAGCCACUGUCCUGCUCCCGAUCCUAGUCCUCUCCGACCCCUCCCUGUUUUUCAGCGCCGCACAAAUCGCAGUAGCAGCAACCAAGGCCCCCUGCUCCCUGCCUCCUCCUCGUCGCCUGUGAAGCCCGAGCACGCCGCCACCCUGUUGACCGACAUCGACCAUGCCAGACCAGCCCCGGUGCCACUCUUGACGCCCGAGCACCGGCCAGCUUGUUGGAGCGAACCACUAGCACCUCCGGCCUCCUCUUCUUCACUCCGAGAACCCCAGCGCCAGCCGCCCUCCUCGAUCACCUAGCGUCACCGUCGAUGAGCUCCAUUCAAGAUGAGCACCGCCGCACCUUCUUCUUCUCCUUCCCAGUGUUCCCCCGUUCUUUUCAUUCUCUCAUCGCCCUUUCUCUUUUCUUCACCAGGAGCUCCCGCAAGACGCCUUGAACAAGACCCCAUGCGCUGAGUCGACCAGUUCGUGCCGCCGCCCUUGGCGUUUGCCGCCCGACGCCAUUCUUCGCUUGGCCUCGCUGCUGCUCCACCACGUCGCAACCGGAUCCGGCCUGAUUCGACCUCCUCAAGCCCAGUUCGCCCACCGCGCCAAGUUCCUCUAGAUGUUCGUCCCCAUUGCUGCAUCGAGUAGCAGCAACUCAUACAGAGGAGGAGGACGCCUCUGCCUCCACCACUCAUGGCGCCCUUGGAGUUCGCCAUCGGCAGCCGCCUUCUCCGGACCACGCCGCCCCCUCAGGCACCUCCCCGCGCUCUGUUCCGCCCGUUCCGGGCCAGUUCCCUUCAACCCCGUCGCCAGGAACCCCGUUGUCAAUCUCUACAUCGCCAUGAGGUGUGGUUGUUUCUAUCUUCAGAAACGAGCAGGUUGCCAGCUCGCCGGCGCCUCGCGUUGACCGAUUGCUUGCCUCCAGCGCAUCAUGGGCCAGUGCCUCCCCAAGGCCCAUGAGGCCUGGUGAGAACCGCAGCGCCCUCUUUUUUCGUCUUAAUGUUGCGCCUGUUACCCUGUUGGGCCUUUACUUAGUUUCAGCCCGCAUGCGGUUUUUUUCAGUUCUGCGUUUUAGUUUUAAUCCAGUGAGCUGCAGUUUUUACAGAAAAACCCCUCAUGUUCAUGCAUAUCCUAACUCACAAAUGGUGCUUCUUAGUAAAACAAAUUAUAUAUGAAAGUUGCUUAGAAUUUUGUCUAGUUUAAUAAUAUGCAACUUUUAUCUAUGUUUAAAAUUUUAAAAUGUUGUUUGUAUAAAUCUGCUUAAAUAACUUGCUAAAAUGGUUUAAUUCAUAACUAAAUAACCGUAGCUCGGUUCAAAUAAUCUUUAUAUGUAAAUGGGGUAGAAAAAUGCCUAGUUUAACAUGGUGUAAUCACUUUGCAUGUUUAACAACUCAAAAAUUGUGUUUAGGGUAGAACAGUACCAAACCUAAU
RNAcentral lists this long non-coding RNA (1473 nucleotides) under Triticum aestivum (bread wheat). RNAcentral describes it as "long non-coding RNA (TAES_LNC025578)". The record is from RNAcentral. Lineage: Eukaryota; Viridiplantae; Streptophyta; Magnoliopsida; Poales; Poaceae.